GAUGAACGCUGGCGGCGUGCUUAACACAUGCAAGUCGAACGAUGAAGCCCAGCUUGCUGGGUGGAUUAGUGGUGAACGGGUGAGUAACACGUGAGUAACCUGCCCUUAACUCUGGGAUAAGCCUGGGAAACUGGGUCUAAUACCGGAUAGGAGCGUCCACCGCAUGGUGGGUGUUGGAAAGAUUUGUCGGUUUUGGAUGGACUCGCGGCCUAUCAGCUUGUUGGUGAGGUAAUGGCUCACCAAGGCGACGACGGGUAGCCGGCCUGAGAGGGUGACCGGCCACACUGGGACUGAGACACGGCCCAGACUCCUACGGGAGGCAGCAGUGGGGAAUAUUGCACAAUGGGCGCAAGCCUGAUGCAGCGACGCCGCGUGAGGGAUGACGGCCUUCGGGUUGUAAACCUCUUUCAGUAGGGAAGAAGCGAAAGUGACGGUACCUGCAGAAGAAGCACCGGCUAACUACGUG
RNAcentral lists this ribosomal RNA (466 nucleotides) under uncultured bacterium. Its description in RNAcentral is "partial 16S ribosomal RNA". It matches the Rfam family "Bacterial small subunit ribosomal RNA", at positions 28 to 507 of the family's 1533-position model. The record is from RNAcentral.